RNAcentral lists this ribosomal RNA (253 nucleotides) under uncultured bacterium. Its description in RNAcentral is "partial 16S ribosomal RNA". It matches the Rfam family "Bacterial small subunit ribosomal RNA", at positions 524 to 776 of the family's 1533-position model. The record is from RNAcentral.
GACAGAGGGUGCAAACGUUGUCCGGAAUUAUUGGGCGUAAAGAGCUUGUAGGCGGUUUGUCGCGUCUGCUGUGAAAUUUCGGGGCUCAACCCCGAACUUGCAGUGGGUACGGGCAGACUAGAGUGUGGUAGGGGAGACUGGAAUUCCUGGUGUAGCGGUGAAAUGCGCAGAUAUCAGGAGGAACACCGAUGGCGAAGGCAGGUCUCUGGGCCACUACUGACGCUGAGAAGCGAAAGCAUGGGGAGCGAACAGG